AACGAACGCUGGCGGCGCGUCUUAAGCAUGCAAGUCGAGCGGCAAGCGGUAGCAAUAUCGCCUAGAGCGGCGGACUGGUGAGUAACACGUGGGUGAUCUACCUUUGGGUUGGGGAUAGCCAUUAGAAAUAGUGGAUAAUACCGAAUACGUUCGUUUGAUUACGGUCAGGCGAGGAAAGGUCCGUUUGGACCGCCCGAAGAUGAGCCCGCGGCUGAUUAGCUAGUUGGUGAGGUAAUGGCCCACCAAGGCGAUGAUCAGUAGGCGGCCUGAGAGGGUGUACGCCCACAUUGGGACUGAGAUACGGCCCAAACUCCUACGGGAGG
RNAcentral lists this ribosomal RNA (323 nucleotides) under uncultured bacterium. RNAcentral describes it as "bacterial SSU rRNA". It matches the Rfam family "Bacterial small subunit ribosomal RNA", at positions 29 to 348 of the family's 1533-position model. The record is from RNAcentral.